AGAGCGAACGCUGGCGGCGUGCUUAACACAUGCAAGUCGAGUGCGCGCCUGUAGCAAUACAGGUGGCGCACGGCGCACGGGUGCGUAACACGUGGGUAAUCUGCCCUUCGAAGGGGAAUAACUCGCCGAAAGGCGAGCUAAUUCCGCAUAACAUUCCGAGGACUUUGGUUUUCGGAUUCAAAGGCGUAAGUCGUCGGAGGAGGAGCCCGCGCACGAUUAGCUAGUUGGUGAGGUAAUGGCUCACCAAGGCUAUGAUCGUUAG
This 262-nucleotide ribosomal RNA is filed under the name uncultured bacterium. RNAcentral's name for it is "partial small subunit ribosomal RNA". It matches the Rfam family "Bacterial small subunit ribosomal RNA", at positions 26 to 286 of the family's 1533-position model. The record is from RNAcentral.